Molecule: small nucleolar RNA, 126 nt
Filed under: Mus caroli (Ryukyu mouse)
Lineage: Eukaryota; Metazoa; Chordata; Mammalia; Rodentia; Muridae
Description: snoRNA (MGP_CAROLIEiJ_G0036334.1)
Rfam family: Small nucleolar RNA SNORA17
About the family: snoRNA ACA 17 belongs to the H/ACA family of snoRNAs and is predicted to guide pseudouridylation of the 28S rRNA at positions U4659 and U4598. It shares the same host gene together with ACA43. NB This family has a high threshold value to exclude a large number of closely related sequences that do not appear to have conserved H and ACA boxes, and may be pseudogenes.
Source: RNAcentral
ACUGACCCUAGAAGCACUGAAGGUGUGGCUGCUGUGUCACAUGUGCGUCAGUAGGUGGCAGAAAAGAGACGCUAUGUCUAUGCUCAGCGUUCUGACUUGCUUAUGAGAAACAAACAACUUUUAAAA